This 372-nucleotide ribosomal RNA is filed under the name Candidatus Buchananbacteria bacterium CG10_big_fil_rev_8_21_14_0_10_33_19. RNAcentral's name for it is "bacterial LSU rRNA". It matches the Rfam family "Bacterial large subunit ribosomal RNA", at positions 2534 to 2925 of the family's 2925-position model. The record is from RNAcentral. Lineage: Bacteria; Candidatus Buchananiibacteriota.
GGCCCGUCCUAUCCUGGAGCUGAAGAAGGUUCCAAGGGUUUGGCUGUUCGCCAAUUAAAAGGGCACGCGAGCUGGGUUCAGAACGUCGUGAGACAGUUCGGUCUCCUAUCUACUAUGGGCGUUGAAAUUUGAGAGGGCCGUUUCCUAGUACGAGAGGACCGGAAACGACUGACCUCUGGUGUACCAGCUGUUCUGCCAAGAGCAUCACUGGGUAGCUAAGUCGGGUUAAGAUAAACGCUGAAAGCAUAUAAGCGUGAAGCUGUCCUCAAGAUUAGAUUUCAUUAAGACCGCUUGUAGAUGACAAGCUUGAUAGGCUCUAGGUGUAAGUGUAGCAAUACAUUCAGCCGAGGAGUACUAAUGGUUUACGUAUGU